UGCAGUCGAACGAGACCUUCGGGUCUAGUGGCGCACGGGUGAGUAACGCGUGGAAACCUACCAUUCUGUACGGAAUAACGAUUGGAAACGAUCGCUAAUACCGUAUACGCCCUGUGGGGGAAAGGUCCGCCGCAGAAUGAGGGGUCCGCGUCCGAUUAGCUUGUUGGUGGGGUAAAAGCCUACCAAGGCGAUGAUCGGUAGCUGGUCUGAGAGGAUGAUCAGCCACACUGGGACUGAGACACGGCCCAGACUCCUACGGGAGGCAGCAGUGGGGAAUAUUGGACAAUGGGGGCAACCCUGAUCCAGCAAUGCCGCGUGUGUGAAGAAGGCCUUAGGGUUGUAAAGCACUUUCAAUGGUGAAGAUGAUGACGGUAGCCGUAAAAGAAGCCCCGGCUAACUUCGUGCCAGCAGCCGCGGUAAUACGAAGGGGGCGAGCGUUGUUCCGAAUUACUGGGCGUAAAGGGCGCGCAGGCGGCCAAUCCAGUCAGGUGUGAAAGCCCCCGGCUUAACCUGGGAACUGCACCUGAUACUGAUUGGCU
RNAcentral lists this ribosomal RNA (539 nucleotides) under uncultured bacterium. RNAcentral describes it as "bacterial SSU rRNA". It matches the Rfam family "Bacterial small subunit ribosomal RNA", at positions 56 to 642 of the family's 1533-position model. The record is from RNAcentral.